Long non-coding RNA from Pieris brassicae (large cabbage white), 274 nucleotides. RefSeq lists it as uncharacterized. Lineage: Eukaryota; Metazoa; Arthropoda; Insecta; Lepidoptera; Pieridae. The record is from RefSeq and is a predicted model, not a curated record. The transcript has 3 exons.
CGGUAAACAUUGGUGACAAUAAAAGAAUGAUCGGUAUGCUUAUAAGCGCAAUAGUGGUGUGUUUAGUGACAUGGGUAUACCUGCGUUGGAGAAACGUGAAACAAUAUUGGGCUGAGCGUGGAGUACCAUUUCUACCUCCACAUCCAAUAUCCCCAUAUUGGACAUGCUGAAGCUUGACAUUUUUACUUAAAAAGAACACGGAUCUUUUAUGGACGGUAGUUCGUCGACGGAUUUCAGCAAUAUUCACUGCAUCUAAAUUAAGAGCUUUACAACC